This 492-nucleotide ribosomal RNA is filed under the name uncultured bacterium. RNAcentral describes it as "partial 16S ribosomal RNA". It matches the Rfam family "Bacterial small subunit ribosomal RNA", at positions 29 to 507 of the family's 1533-position model. The record is from RNAcentral.
AGUGAACGCUGGCGGUAGGCCUAACACAUGCAAGUCGAACGGCAGCACAGUAAGAGCUUGCUCUUACGGGUGGCGAGUGGCGGACGGGUGAGGAGUACAUCGGAAUCUACUUUUUCGUGGGGGAUAACGUAGGGAAACUUACGCUAAUACCGCAUACGACCUACGGGUGAAAGCAGGGGAUCUUCGGACCUUGCGCGAUUGAAUGAGCCGAUGUCGGAUUAGCUAGUUGGCGGGGUAAAGGCCCACCAAGGCGACGAUCCGUAGCUGGUCUGAGAGGAUGAUCAGCCACACUGGAACUGAGACACGGUCCAGACUCCUACGGGAGGCAGCAGUGGGGAAUAUUGGACAAUGGGCGCAAGCCUGAUCCAGCCACACCGCGUGGGUGAAGAAGGCCUUCGGGUUGUAAAGCCCUUUUGUUGGGAAAGAAAAGCAGCAGGUUAAUACCCCGCUGUUCUGACGGUACCCAAAGAAUAAGCACCGGCUAACUUCGUG